This 82-nucleotide transfer RNA is filed under the name Malassezia vespertilionis. It matches the Rfam family "tRNA". Rfam says of the family: Transfer RNA (tRNA) molecules are approximately 80 nucleotides in length. Lineage: Eukaryota; Fungi; Basidiomycota; Malasseziomycetes; Malasseziales; Malasseziaceae. The record is from Rfam by way of RNAcentral.
GGCCGAGUAGCAAAGUGGUUACUGCGACGGCUUUAGGAUUUUAUCACGCCGUUAUUCGUGGGUUCGAACCCCACCUUGGUCA